This 325-nucleotide ribosomal RNA is filed under the name Microbacterium sp. RNAcentral describes it as "bacterial SSU rRNA". It matches the Rfam family "Bacterial small subunit ribosomal RNA", at positions 129 to 455 of the family's 1533-position model. Lineage: Bacteria; Bacillati; Actinomycetota; Actinomycetes; Micrococcales; Microbacteriaceae. The record is from RNAcentral.
CCCUGGACUCUGGGAUAAGCGCUGGAAACGGCGUCUAAUACUGGAUAUGAGACGUGAUCGCAUGGUCGUGUUUGGAAAGAUUUUUCGGUCUGGGAUGGGCUCGCGGCCUAUCAGCUUGUUGGUGAGGUAAUGGCUCACCAAGGCGUCGACGGGUAGCCGGCCUGAGAGGGUGACCGGCCACACUGGGACUGAGACACGGCCCACACUCCUACGGGAGGCAGCAGUGGGGAAUAUUGCACAAUGGGCGGAAGCCUGAUGCAGCAACGCCGCGUGAGGGAUGACGGCCUUCGGGUUGUAAACCUCUUUUAGCAGGGAAGAAGCGAAA